This 2905-nucleotide ribosomal RNA is filed under the name Escherichia coli. RNAcentral describes it as "23S ribosomal RNA". It matches the Rfam family "Bacterial large subunit ribosomal RNA". Lineage: Bacteria; Pseudomonadati; Pseudomonadota; Gammaproteobacteria; Enterobacterales; Enterobacteriaceae. The record is from RNAcentral.
GGUUAAGCGACUAAGCGUACACGGUGGAUGCCCUGGCAGUCAGAGGCGAUGAAGGACGUGCUAAUCUGCGAUAAGCGUCGGUAAGGUGAUAUGAACCGUUAUAACCGGCGAUUUCCGAAUGGGGAAACCCAGUGUGUUUCGACACACUAUCAUUAACUGAAUCCAUAGGUUAAUGAGGCGAACCGGGGGAACUGAAACAUCUAAGUACCCCGAGGAAAAGAAAUCAACCGAGAUUCCCCCAGUAGCGGCGAGCGAACGGGGAGCAGCCCAGAGCCUGAAUCAGUGUGUGUGUUAGUGGAAGCGUCUGGAAAGGCGCGCGAUACAGGGUGACAGCCCCGUACACAAAAAUGCACAUACUGUGAGCUCGAUGAGUAGGGCGGGACACGUGGUAUCCUGUCUGAAUAUGGGGGGACCAUCCUCCAAGGCUAAAUACUCCUGACUGACCGAUAGUGAACCAGUACCGUGAGGGAAAGGCGAAAAGAACCCCGGCGAGGGGAGUGAAAAAGAACCUGAAACCGUGUACGUACAAGCAGUGGGAGCCUCUUAAUGGGGUGACUGCGUACCUUUUGUAUAAUGGGUCAGCGACUUAUAUUCUGUAGCAAGGUUAACCGAAUAGGGGAGCCGAAGGGAAACCGAGUCUUAACUGGGCGUUAAGUUGCAGGGUAUAGACCCGAAACCCGGUGAUCUAGCCAUGGGCAGGUUGAAGGUUGGGUAACACUAACUGGAGGACCGAACCGACUAAUGUUGAAAAAUUAGCGGAUGACUUGUGGCUGGGGGUGAAAGGCCAAUCAAACCGGGAGAUAGCUGGUUCUCCCCGAAAGCUAUUUAGGUAGCGCCUCGUGAAUUCAUCUCCGGGGGUAGAGCACUGUUUCGGCAAGGGGGUCAUCCCGACUUACCAACCCGAUGCAAACUGCGAAUACCGGAGAAUGUUAUCACGGGAGACACACGGCGGGUGCUAACGUCCGUCGUGAAGAGGGAAACAACCCAGACCGCCAGCUAAGGUCCCAAAGUCAUGGUUAAGUGGGAAACGAUGUGGGAAGGCCCAGACAGCCAGGAUGUUGGCUUAGAAGCAGCCAUCAUUUAAAGAAAGCGUAAUAGCUCACUGGUCGAGUCGGCCUGCGCGGAAGAUGUAACGGGGCUAAACCAUGCACCGAAGCUGCGGCAGCGACGUUUAUGCGUUGUUGGGUAGGGGAGCGUUCUGUAAGCCUGCGAAGGUGUACUGUGAGGUAUGCUGGAGGUAUCAGAAGUGCGAAUGCUGACAUAAGUAACGAUAAAGCGGGUGAAAAGCCCGCUCGCCGGAAGACCAAGGGUUCCUGUCCAACGUUAAUCGGGGCAGGGUGAGUCGACCCCUAAGGCGAGGCCGAAAGGCGUAGUCGAUGGGAAACAGGUUAAUAUUCCUGUACUUGGUGUUACUGCGAAGGGGGGACGGAGAAGGCUAUGUUGGCCGGGCGACGGUUGUCCCGGUUUAAGCGUGUAGGCUGGUUUUCCAGGCAAAUCCGGAAAAUCAAGGCUGAGGCGUGAUGACGAGGCACUACGGUGCUGAAGCAACAAAUGCCCUGCUUCCAGGAAAAGCCUCUAAGCAUCAGGUAACAUCAAAUCGUACCCCAAACCGACACAGGUGGUCAGGUAGAGAAUACCAAGGCGCUUGAGAGAACUCGGGUGAAGGAACUAGGCAAAAUGGUGCCGUAACUUCGGGAGAAGGCACGCUGAUAUGUAGGUGAAGUCCCUCGCGGAUGGAGCUGAAAUCAGUCGAAGAUACCAGCUGGCUGCAACUGUUUAUUAAAAACACAGCACUGUGCAAACACGAAAGUGGACGUAUACGGUGUGACGCCUGCCCGGUGCCGGAAGGUUAAUUGAUGGGGUUAGCGGUAACGCGAAGCUCUUGAUCGAAGCCCCGGUAAACGGCGGCCGUAACUAUAACGGUCCUAAGGUAGCGAAAUUCCUUGUCGGGUAAGUUCCGACCUGCACGAAUGGCGUAAUGAUGGCCAGGCUGUCUCCACCCGAGACUCAGUGAAAUUGAACUCGCUGUGAAGAUGCAGUGUACCCGCGGCAAGACGGAAAGACCCCGUGAACCUUUACUAUAGCUUGACACUGAACAUUGAGCCUUGAUGUGUAGGAUAGGUGGGAGGCUUUGAAGUGUGGACGCCAGUCUGCAUGGAGCCGGCCUUGAAAUACCACCCUUUAAUGUUUGAUGUUCUAACGUUGGCCCCUUACCGGGGUUGCGGACAGUGUCUGGUGGGUAGUUUGACUGGGGCGGUCUCCUCCUAAAGAGUAACGGAGGAGCACGAAGGUUGGCUAAUCCUGGUCGGACAUCAGGAGGUUAGUGCAAUGGCAUAAGCCAGCUUGACUGCGAGCGUGACGGCGCGAGCAGGUGCGAAAGCAGGUCAUAGUGAUCCGGUGGUUCUGAAUGGAAGGGCCAUCGCUCAACGGAUAAAAGGUACUCCGGGGAUAACAGGCUGAUACCGCCCAAGAGUUCAUAUCGACGGCGGUGUUUGGCACCUCGAUGUCGGCUCAUCACAUCCUGGGGCUGAAGUAGGUCCCAAGGGUAUGGCUGUUCGCCAUUUAAAGUGGUACGCGAGCUGGGUUUAGAACGUCGUGAGACAGUUCGGUCCCUAUCUGCCGUGGGCGCUGGAGAACUGAGGGGGGCUGCUCCUAGUACGAGAGGACCGGAGUGGACGCAUCACUGGUGUUCGGGUUGUCAUGCCAAUGGCACUGCCCGGUAGCUAAAUGCGGAAGAGAUAAGUGCUGAAAGCAUCUAAGCACGAAACUUGCCCCGAGAUGAGUUCUCCCUGACUCUUUAAGGGUCCUGAAGGAACGUUGAAGACGACGACGUUGAUAGGCCGGGUGUGUAAGCGCAGCGAUGCGUUGAGCUAACCGGUACUAAUGAACCGUGAGGCUUAACCUU